RNAcentral lists this ribosomal RNA (230 nucleotides) under uncultured bacterium. Its description in RNAcentral is "partial 16S ribosomal RNA". It matches the Rfam family "Bacterial small subunit ribosomal RNA", at positions 29 to 240 of the family's 1533-position model. The record is from RNAcentral.
AAUGAACGCUGGCGGCGUGCCUAAUACAUGCAAGUCGAACGCACAGCGAAAGGUGCUUGCACCUUUCAAGUGAGUGGCGAACGGGUGAGUAACACGUGGACAACCUGCCUCAAGGCUGGGGAUAACAUUUGGAAACAGAUGCUAAUACCGAAUAAAACUUAAGUGUCGCAUGACACAAAGUUAAAAAGGACGGCUUUGGUCGGUCACCUAAAGAAUGGAUCCGCGGUGCA